RNAcentral lists this ribosomal RNA (267 nucleotides) under uncultured bacterium. RNAcentral's name for it is "partial 16S ribosomal RNA". It matches the Rfam family "Bacterial small subunit ribosomal RNA", at positions 793 to 1055 of the family's 1533-position model. The record is from RNAcentral.
GUCCACGCCCUAAACGAUGGAUACUAGAUGUAAGAGGUAUCAACCCCUCUUGUGUCGCAGCUAACGCAUUAAGUAUCCCGCCUGGGGAGUACGGCCGCAAGGUUGAAACUCAAAUGAAUUGACGGGGACCCGCACAAGCGGUGGAGCAUGUGGAUUAAUUCGAUACUAACCGAAGAACCUUACCCAGGUUUGACAUCGAUGGCAAGCCCAUGAAAGUGGGCCCUCCCCCACAAGGGGACCUGAAGACACUUGUUGCAUGGCUGUCGU